AUGAACGCUGGCGGCGCGCCUAACACAUGCAAGUCGAACGAUUAAACCGCCCUUGGGCGGAUAUACAGUGGCGAACGGGUGAGUAACGCGUGACCAACCUUCCCCCCGCAUCGGGACAACCCGGGGAAACCCGGGCUAAUACCGGAUAUGCCGGGUAUGGCGCAUGUCAUACCCAGGAAAGCUUUUGCGGCGGGGGAUGGGGUCGCGUCCCAUCAGGUAGACGGCGGGGUAGUAGCCCACCGUGCCAACGACGGGUAGCCGGGUUGAGAGACCGACCGGCCACAUUGGGACUGAGAUACGGCCCAGACUCCUACGGGAGGCAGCAGUGGGGAAUCUUGCGCAAUGGGGGAAACCCUGACGCAGCGACGCCGCGUGCGGGAUGGAGGCCUUCGGGCCGUGAACCGCUUUCAGCA
This 413-nucleotide ribosomal RNA is filed under the name Cryptobacterium curtum. Its description in RNAcentral is "bacterial SSU rRNA". It matches the Rfam family "Bacterial small subunit ribosomal RNA", at positions 29 to 441 of the family's 1533-position model. The record is from RNAcentral. Lineage: Bacteria; Bacillati; Actinomycetota; Coriobacteriia; Eggerthellales; Eggerthellaceae.